Molecule: ribosomal RNA, 487 nt
Filed under: uncultured bacterium
Lineage: Bacteria
Description: partial 16S ribosomal RNA
Rfam family: Bacterial small subunit ribosomal RNA
Source: RNAcentral
GACGAACGCUGGCGGCGUGCUUUACACAUGCAAGUCGAACGAUGAUGCCCAGCUUGCUGGGUGGAUUAGUGGCGAACGGGUGAGUAACACGUGAGUAACCUGCCCCUGACUCUGGGAUAAGCCUGGGAAACUGGGUCUAAUACUGGAUAUGACAUUCUCCUGCAUGGGAUGGGUGUGGAAAGGGUUUCUGGUUGGGGAUGGGCUCGCGGCCUUUCAGCUUGUUGGUGGGGUGAUGGCCUACCAAGGCUUUGACGGGUAGCCGGCCUGAGAGGGUGACCGGCCACACUGGGACUGAGACACGGCCCAGACGCCUACGGGAGGCAGCAGUGGGGAAUAUUGCACAAUGGGCGGAAGCCUGAUGCAGCGACGCCGCGUGAGGGAUGACGGCCUUCGGGUUGUAAACCUCUUUCAGUAGGGAAGAAGCCUUUCGGGGUGACGGUACCUGCAGAAGAAGCGCCGGCUAACUACGUGCCAGCAGCCGCCGUAA